UUAGCUGGGCAUGGUGGCGCGUGCCUGUAAUCCCAGCUACUCAGGAGGCUGAGGCAGGAGAAUCGCUUAAACCUUGGAAGUGGAGGGUGCAGCGAGCAAGAUCUCACCACUGUACUCCAGCCUGGGUGACAGAGUGAGACUGUCUUAAAAAAAAAAAAAAA
Long non-coding RNA from Sapajus apella (tufted capuchin), 161 nucleotides. RefSeq lists it as uncharacterized. The transcript is spliced from 2 exons. The record is from RefSeq and is a predicted model, not a curated record. NCBI's taxonomy places the organism in Eukaryota, Metazoa, Chordata, Mammalia, Primates, Cebidae.